RNAcentral lists this ribosomal RNA (253 nucleotides) under uncultured bacterium. RNAcentral's name for it is "partial 16S ribosomal RNA". It matches the Rfam family "Bacterial small subunit ribosomal RNA", at positions 524 to 776 of the family's 1533-position model. The record is from RNAcentral.
UACGUAGGGGGCAAGCGUUGUCCGGAUUUAUUGGGCGUAAAGAGCGCGUAGGCGGCUAGGUAGGUCCGUUGUGAAAACUCGAGGCUCAACCUCGAGACGUCGAUGGAAACCAUCUAGCUAGAGUCCGGAAGAGGAGAGUGGAAUUCCUGGUGUAGCGGUGAAAUGCGCAGAUAUCAGGAAGAACACCCGUGGCGGAGGCGGCUCUCUGGUACGUGACUGACGCUGAGGCGCGAAAGCGUGGGGAGCGAACAGG